CAUUACUGAGUUUACGCUCUACAACCCUUUGUGAACAUACCUAUAACUGUUGCUUCGGCGGGUAGGGUCUCCGUGACCCUCCCGGCCUCCCGCCCCCGGGCGGGUCGGCGCCCGCCGGAGGAUAACCAAACUCUGAUUUAACGACGUUUCUUCUGAGUGGUACAAGCAAAUAAUCAAAACUUUUAACAACGGAUCUCUUGGUUCUGGCAUCGAUGAAGAACGCAGCGAAAUGCGAUAAGUAAUGUGAAUUGCAGAAUUCAGUGAAUCAUCGAAUCUUUGAACGCACAUUGCGCCCGCCAGCAUUCUGGCGGGCAUGCCUGUUCGAGCGUCAUUUCAACCCUCAAGCCCUGCUUGGUGUUGGGGCCCUACGGCUGACGUAGGCCCUCAAAGGUAGUGGCGGACCCUCCCGGAGCCUCCUUUGCGUAGUAACUUUACGUCUCGCACUGGGAUCCGGAGGGACUCUUGCCGUAAAACCCCCA
This 479-nucleotide ribosomal RNA is filed under the name Colletotrichum cordylinicola. RNAcentral describes it as "eukaryotic LSU rRNA". The stretch from base 178 to 331 matches the Rfam family "5.8S ribosomal RNA". The record is from RNAcentral. Lineage: Eukaryota; Fungi; Ascomycota; Sordariomycetes; Glomerellales; Glomerellaceae.